RNAcentral lists this transfer RNA (86 nucleotides) under Tepidimonas ignava. RNAcentral's name for it is "tRNA-Leu". It matches the Rfam family "tRNA". From Rfam's summary of the family: Transfer RNA (tRNA) molecules are approximately 80 nucleotides in length. The record is from RNAcentral. Lineage: Bacteria; Pseudomonadati; Pseudomonadota; Betaproteobacteria; Burkholderiales.
GCGGGUGUGAUGGAAUCGGUAGACAUACAGGACUUAAAAUCCUGAGGCCCCACCGGGCCGUGCGGGUUCGAGUCCCGCCACCCGCA